This 164-nucleotide ribosomal RNA is filed under the name Pythium plurisporium. RNAcentral's name for it is "5.8S ribosomal RNA". It matches the Rfam family "5.8S ribosomal RNA". Rfam says of the family: 5.8S ribosomal RNA (5.8S rRNA) is a component of the large subunit of the eukaryotic ribosome. It is transcribed by RNA polymerase I as part of the 45S precursor that also contains 18S and 28S rRNA. Functionally, it is thought that 5.8S rRNA may be involved in ribosome translocation. The record is from RNAcentral. Lineage: Eukaryota; Oomycota; Peronosporomycetes; Pythiales; Pythiaceae.
CAACUUUCAGCAGUGGAUGUCUAGGGCUCGCACAUCGAUGAAGAACGCUUGCGAACUGCGAUACCGUAAUGMCGAAUUGCAGAAUUCAGUGAGUCAUCGAAAUUUUGAACGCACAUUGCACUUUCGGGAUAUUCCUGGAAGUAUGCUUGUAUCAAGUGUCCGUA